UGGGGAAUAUUGGACAAUGGGCGCAAGCCUGAUCCAGCCAUGCCGCGUGAGUGAUGAAGGCCCUAGGGUUGUAAAGCUCUUUCACCGGUGAAGAUAAUGACGGUAACCGGAGAAGAAGCCCCGGCUAACUUCGUGCCAGCAGCCGCGGUAAUACGAAGGGGGCUAGCGUUGUUCGGAUUUACUGGGCGUAAAGCGCACGUAGGCGGACUAUUAAGUCAGGGGUGAAAUCCCGGGGCUCAACCCCGGAACUGCCUUUGAUACUGGUAGUCUUGAGUUCGAGAGAGGUGAGUGGAAUUCCGAGUGUAGAGGUGAAAUUCGUAGAUAUUCGGGGGAACACCAGGGGCGAAGGCGGCUCACUGGCUCGAUACUGACGCUGAGGUGCGAAAGCGUGGGGAGCAAACAGG
Molecule: ribosomal RNA, 404 nt
Filed under: Actinomycetes bacterium
Lineage: Bacteria; Bacillati; Actinomycetota; Actinomycetes
Description: Actinobacteria bacterium partial 16S ribosomal RNA
Rfam family: Bacterial small subunit ribosomal RNA
Source: RNAcentral